GUAGGUUAUGGUGACAUGGCGCCCAAAACAUAUGUGGGUAUGUUCGUAGGGGCUCUUUGUGCCCUUGCCGGUGUACUGACCAUCGCCCUGCCAGUUCCUGUUAUCGUCAGCAAC
Molecule: non-coding RNA, 114 nt
Organism: Phlebotomus papatasi
Lineage: Eukaryota; Metazoa; Arthropoda; Insecta; Diptera; Psychodidae
Source: Rfam